RNAcentral lists this ribosomal RNA (263 nucleotides) under uncultured bacterium. Its description in RNAcentral is "partial small subunit ribosomal RNA". It matches the Rfam family "Bacterial small subunit ribosomal RNA", at positions 26 to 291 of the family's 1533-position model. The record is from RNAcentral.
AGGACGAACGCUGGCGGCGUGCCUAAAACAUGCAAGUCGAACGGGGUCCAUCCUUCGGGAGAAGACCUAGUGGCGAACGGGUGAGUAACACGUGAGAAACCUGCCUUGAAGUCUGGGAUAAGCCAGGGAAACUUGGUCUAAUACCGGAUACCUUCAACACUCCUUAUGCUGAGUUGAAGAAAGUUUUUCGCUUCAAGAGGGUCUCGCGUCCUAUCAGCUUGUUGGUGGGGUAACGCCUACCAAGGCUUCGACGGGUAGCUGGU